Molecule: long non-coding RNA, 1531 nt
Filed under: Macaca fascicularis (crab-eating macaque)
Lineage: Eukaryota; Metazoa; Chordata; Mammalia; Primates; Cercopithecidae
Description: lncRNA (ENSMFAG00000053486.1)
Source: RNAcentral
CACUCUUUGCCCAGGCUCAGGCUGGAGUGCAGUAGUGCAAUCUCGGCUCACUACAACCUCUGCCUCCCAGGUUCAAGUAAUUCUCCUGUCUCAGACUCUCGAGUAGCUGGGAUUACAGGUGCACACCACCAUGCCCAGCUACUUUUUUGUAUUUUCAGUAGAGACAGGCUUUUCACCACGUUGGCCAGGCUGGUCUCAAACUCCUGACCUCAAGUGAUCUGCCCGCCUUGGCCUCCCCAAAUUCUGGAAUUUGGGGAGCCACUGCGCUUUGUCUCUUGUUCGCUUUUAAGAGCUUAUGUAACUUUCUUCCCAUGUUUCUAUUUUCUUUGUUUUCUGCUUUUCUUCCUUUUCAGCUUGUUUUUCUCUGUACUUACUUAUGAAGUUUCUGCGAGGCAGUUUUUACAUCUUUCAAAGUCUCAUCCAAAGCUCAAGCUUUCUUCUAGUGACUUUCAGCAUUUAAAAACUUUUCUUCUUCUAACUACCUUCUUCUUCCUACAAGUGUCUGUGAGUUGGAGAGUUUUGUAAUGCAAGCUCAAAAUCUUCCGUUGCUUUGGUCAGACUUCCCUUUGUCACAUUUAACCCUCCAAGAAAUGCCAGUGCUUUGUUUGUUUCUAGAGUUUUAUUGUAUUCAUUCACAGCAUCCACAUGGCAUCCAAUCUUAAACUGUAAUCUUCACCUAUUUUAAAGCCCAAGAUACAUAUUGAUUCUUUCUUAAUGCAGAAAAAAAAUUGUCUUAAGAGAAAUUAUUGCUCUGCAGGCCUUUCAUUAAAUGUGGUGGAUGGUUGUAGCGACACGAAUGGAACUGGAGUACAUUACCCUAAGUGAAAUAACUCAGAAACAGAAAGUCAAAUACCACAUGUUCUUCCUUCUAAGUGGGAGCUAAAUAAUGUGUACACAUGGACAUAUGGAGUAGAAUAACAGACAUUAGGGACUCAGAAGGGUGGGAUGGUGGAAGGAGGGUGAGGAAUAAAAAAAUUACCUAUUGGGUACAAUGUUCAUUAUUUUUGAGAUGGGUACACUAAAAGCCCAGACUUCACCAGUGUGAAAUACAUCUAUGUAACAAAACUGCACUUGUAUCCCCUCAAUAUGUGUUUUGGUGGUGUUUUUUGUUUUUUUGUUUUUUUGUUUUUCUGAGAUGGAGUCUCGCUCUGUCACCCAGGCUGGAGUGCAGUGGUACACUCUUGGCUCACUGCAAACUCCGCCUCCCAGAUUCAAGUGAUUCUCCUCCCUCACCCUCCUGAGUAGCUGGGAUUACAGGCAGGCACCACCACGCCCAGCUAAUUUUUGUAUUUUUAGUAGAGACAUGGUUUCACCAUGUUGGUCAGGCUAGUCUUGAACUGCUGACAUCGUGAUUCGCCUGCCUCAGCCUCCCAAAGUGCUGGGAUUACAGGCAUGAGCCACUAUACCUGGCCCUAAAUAUGUUUUUUUAAGGUGCUGGAUUAGAUUAGUCUAUUCCUACUUUUUCUAGAAAAAAAUUACUCCUGGAUUCACAAAUCCCACUGAACUCUGCAUGAUGUUUUUGUAGGCUCCA